Molecule: small nucleolar RNA, 67 nt
Organism: Triplophysa dalaica
Lineage: Eukaryota; Metazoa; Chordata; Actinopteri; Cypriniformes; Nemacheilidae
Product: small nucleolar RNA SNORD61
Exons: 1
Source: RefSeq, a predicted model, not a curated record
GCAAUGAUGAUGCUUUGUGUUGUUGAUCAUUUUGAACUGAUGUUUUCCUCUAAGAAGUUCUGAGCUU